CCUACGGGAGGCAGCAGUGGGGAAUAUUGCACAAUGGGGGGAACCCUGUUGCAGCAACGCCGCGUGGGUGAAGAAGUACUUCGGUAUGUAAAGCCCUGUCAGCAGGGAAGAAAAGGACGGUACCUGACCAAGAAGCCCCGGUGAACUACGUCCCAGCAGCCGAGGUAAUACGUAGGGGGCAAGCGUUAGCCGGAUUUACUGGGUGUAAAGGGAGCGUAGACGGCAAGGCAAGUCUGGAGUGAAAGCCCGUGGCUCAACCACGGGACUGCUUUGGAAACUGUGUUGCUGGAGUGCAGGAGGGGUAAGCGGAAUUCCUAGUGUAGCGGUGAAAUGCGUAGAUAUUAGGAGGAACACCGGUGGCGAAGGCGGCUUACUGGACUGUAACUGACGUUGAGGCUCGAAGGCGUGGGGAGCAAACAGGAUUAGAUACCCGGGUAGUC
RNAcentral lists this ribosomal RNA (440 nucleotides) under uncultured bacterium. Its description in RNAcentral is "partial 16S ribosomal RNA". It matches the Rfam family "Bacterial small subunit ribosomal RNA", at positions 338 to 795 of the family's 1533-position model. The record is from RNAcentral.